Molecule: ribosomal RNA, 169 nt
Filed under: uncultured bacterium
Lineage: Bacteria
Also listed under: 1 other name
Description: partial 16S ribosomal RNA
Rfam family: Bacterial small subunit ribosomal RNA
Source: RNAcentral
CCUACGGGAGGCAGCAGUGGGGAAUCUUGGACAAUGGGGGCAACCCUGAUCCAGCCAUGCCGCGUGAGUGAUGAAGGCCUUAGGGUCGUAAAGCUCUUUCGCCUGUGAUGAUAAUGACAGUAGCAGGUAAAGAAACCCCGGCUAACUCCGUGCCAGCAGCCGCGGUAAU